This 1245-nucleotide long non-coding RNA is filed under the name Linum usitatissimum (flax). RNAcentral's name for it is "long non-coding RNA (LUSI_LNC006670)". Lineage: Eukaryota; Viridiplantae; Streptophyta; Magnoliopsida; Malpighiales; Linaceae. The record is from RNAcentral.
GAUGUAAACUAUUGCUAUUGAGAUGACCCAAAUGGAAAUUCCAAGGGUCAAUUGAAUGUUGUUGAGUAGAAAAAGGUCGUGGACCAAAAAUAGAAUUUACUUCAGAGCCAAUACAAGCAUUGUUAGAUUACAAAGAGGAACACAUUGAGAAUUAGCAAUUGAUUUAACAAGGUUGGUAUGCUCACAAGCAGGAGAUAGCGGAACAGCAAAACGUGGUACUGAUAACACCAGCAGGGGUGGAGAAUCAUAAGUACUAAGCAGAUGUAGCUAAUGGGUGUAUCAGUUACAGGCCGCGGUGCAGCUCAGCUGUACCAAUCAUUCUCAUAUGCGGUAUAGCCUGUAGCAAGCAAAGAUUGAGAUAGAAAAACAACGCAUCGAUAGUGUCAUGCUUAGCCAACUAACUCACUAAAAUAAAAUUGAACGUAAAUGACGGCACAAGCAAGACAUUGGUCAAUCGUUAGCUGGUGGAGUAAAAAACUUCCCUAACAUGGGUGACGAAAAUCAAAGAGCCUGUAGGGGAGAUACACAAACAUAGUAGAAACAGAUCCACAAGAUUGAAUCAAGCGUUUAUUACAGACUAUUUGUUCUAAGCACCCGUAUCGAGCACCAACUUGCUAAAGCAAGAAGGAGAAAUAGCAGUUGCAUAAAGAUACAAGGGAAGGAAAGUGGUAGUUGAGGAGGAGCUCGGCUGGUCAGCUGACCCGGAUGUUUAACCAUCCAGAAAUCCCAACUUUUGUUUGUUAUCGAUCACCAUGGUCAUGGACAUCGCCCACUCCGUAUAGUUGGAUUUGGUGAGGACCUCGGACACGAAGCACUGGCCCCAGUUCUCACUGGGAUGGAUAUAAUAAGGAUUGGAAGAAUCAAGAAUUUUGAUAACUGAGCCAGCAGGUGGCACCGAUUUUGUGGGAGGAACAAAACCAGUAAGGGGAACGGAACCGUCGGAAGAACAUCGAUUGACAUUGAAGUAGUGAACAAGAGAAAUCAAGAAUUAAGAGAGGGAAAGGAUCGGAAGUAGAGAAAAUCUAAAAAGUACUAUAUGAUACCAUGUUAGGUGAAAGAAUUAAGAGAAGUUUUUAUUAAAUGAACUGAAUUAUUGAUUGAAACAAGCUUUCCAUCUUGACUUUAUAGAAGGAUGAGUUAGGGAGCUCUAACUGACCACAAACAUAAUUACAAGAAAGGACUAAACAUAAAAUAUUUAUUCCUAAACUACCCUUAUAACGCUAACAACAUUCAAUCCGAUUAUUA